UAGCAGACAAUGAUGGAGUUAUAAGUACCGUCGCAAUCAGCGAGCAGGGUUGGUGGAAGCCUGCAUGGAUGGGAAAAGGCACUCCGGAGUCGCACUUUCUUUAAAGAGGGCUGUUUUAUGCAGCCAAUCGAGGUGGAACCGCGGGUCUUAACGUACUCGUCCUCGGA
This 167-nucleotide unclassified non-coding RNA is filed under the name Planococcus massiliensis. RNAcentral describes it as "T-box". Lineage: Bacteria; Bacillati; Bacillota; Bacilli; Caryophanales; Caryophanaceae. The record is from RNAcentral.